GUGGGGAAUUUUGGACAAUGGGCGCAAGCCUGAUCCAGCAAUGCCGCGUGCAGGAAGAAGGCCUUCGGGUUGUAAACUGCUUUUGUACGGAACGAAACGGUCCGGGUUAAUACCCUGGGCUAAUGACGGUACCGUAAGAAUAAGCACCGGCUAACUACGUGCCAGCAGCCGCGGUAAUACGUAGGGUGCAAGCGUUAAUCGGAAUUACUGGGCGUAAAGCGUGCGCAGGCGGUGCUGUAAGACAGGCGUGAAAUCCCCGGGCUCAACCUGGGAAUUGCGGUUGUGACUGCAGUGCUGGAGUGCGGCAGAGGGGGAUGGAAUUCCGCGUGUAGCAGUGAAAUGCGUAGAUAUGCGGAGGAACACCGAUGGCGAAGGCAAUCCCCUGGGCCUGCACUGACGCUCAUGCACGAAAGCGUGGGGAGCAAACAGGAUUAGAAACCCGGGUAGUCC
RNAcentral lists this ribosomal RNA (450 nucleotides) under uncultured bacterium. RNAcentral describes it as "partial 16S ribosomal RNA". It matches the Rfam family "Bacterial small subunit ribosomal RNA", at positions 354 to 796 of the family's 1533-position model. The record is from RNAcentral.